Long non-coding RNA from Diorhabda carinulata, 4942 nucleotides. RefSeq lists it as uncharacterized. The transcript has 2 exons. Lineage: Eukaryota; Metazoa; Arthropoda; Insecta; Coleoptera; Chrysomelidae. The record is from RefSeq and is a predicted model, not a curated record.
UUUUGUUCUCUCAAAUAAAGAAUAUUACGAAAAUUCUUUUCACUUCAGUCAAUUUAUAGAUAGGAGUGAAAUCGCACCGACAGUAGACAGCUGUGAAUAAAGUGCAUGUGCCCUCUGUUUAUUUGGAAGGUUUAAUAUUUAUUAAUGAACGGUACAACUUUUUAGAUAAUUCAAAAAAAUGACUAAACUUUUUUCUGUGAUCUUUCCCGGGUUGUCAUAAAUUAAAAACAGCUUUUAUAAAAUAACCUCCCACAAAUUGCACGUAGAAUAGCAAUGAAGAAAAUAAAUGAAAGAUCCAGAGCAACUGCUCAAAAUAACUGGCAACGGAGGAACUACACCAACUGCAGCCUCCGAAACUGACACAAGCCAUGGAGCCUCGACGUCCAGCUCCUCCGCACAAGGAGGUUACUGUAAGGGGCACCGUAGACAAGAGUCCAUGUAUACAAUGACUGGUCUUUAUUCACAAACCAUCCCAGAAACGACAGAAAUCGCUGAAAAAAAAUGUUCGACAAACUUUUGUCAUGACACAGUUAUUAAAUGCCACAGUAGAAAUCCUUCAGCUAGUUUUGUAGAGAUAAAGCUGCACAUACCGCGACUUACACUGAAACACCUGUGAUUUUGUUGAGACGGCUGUAGUAGUAUCAUUAUUGUUAGCCACUCAAGCUCUGAGAUAUCAAAAUUAUCUCCCUAUUAGAGAUUUUGGUAGGUGUCAAGAUGCAAAUGACAGUCUUGUGACCUUCUUGAAAGGCAUGUGCACAGAACUGUUGGAGUAAUGGUUUGUGGCGAUAUUGUUUAUCUUAAAUCUAUUUGAGGCAGUUUAACAACUUGGCGUUAUUUUAAUGAUUACAUUCUAAUCACUUCACGGCAUUAUCUAAGCGAACGGUCACUAGUCAUUUUCAAGCUAGAGAACGCACGUCCACAUAUUUCUCUCGUAUCAAGUUUCUGCAAAAAACUGUUAUUUAUAUUUCAUAGUGGUCACAUCGAUUACCGGGUUUGACACCUAAGAAAAAAGUGUGAGAUAUAAUGGGGAAAAACCUCCACAGACUGAUAUGGUUAAUCCAAGUUAAUUCCAAGUUGCUUGGAACGAGAUGCGACAACAAAAGCCUUGACUUGUACAGGAGUAUACUAAGCUGUGGUAUCACUAAACACGCUAUGAGUAUAUCUUAAUAGACUAUUGCAAAUGUUUUUGCAAAUAUUUAUUUAGUUCUUGAUAUUCGACUGGGUAUCACAUUAUUAAAAAAUCAAAGUAAAUAAAUGGAUAUAUUUCCGUUUUAUCAUCAUGAAAUAACUUCAAUACAUUCUUCAAUAUUUAAAUAAAGAGUUAUAUUGUCACAAAAGAAAUAUUUCCGUCGUCUUGUUGCAUUAUUUAUAUAACUUAUAUAAUUUCAGUCAUCUGUGUCGUCAGAAAAAUGAUAAGCAAGUGAAUUAUAGAUUUCACUUUCGAAACUUUAUUUUUAAAAAUUUUAUUAUCAAAAAAUACGUUACAUUUCCACAAAUGUUGAAUGAAUUUCAUUAAGUUUAAACCAUGGAAUUAAUAAAACACAGUCGUUGAACAAAUUAACAAAAUUCAUUAAAAUAGUAGUCUUCCGGAUGUUUCUUGAUGUAACUAUCGAAAUGUUAUUAUAAAAUCAUGAACAUCCAGUACGCGGGAUCAAAAAUAAAAAAUUUAGUAUUACAAUAGCGGCUAAAAAAUUAUCAUGUGGCAAAGAGAAUUGUCAACGAAGGAUGUACCUAUCGUAUGUCUAGGGCAUACUUGAAAAUCUCAUGAAUAUCAGUUCAUAGAGACUAAUAACUUUUAUAAGUGUGCUUUAAAAUGUAUCUAAUCACAUCCGACAAUUCAUGAAUCUCUAUUUUUGGGGGCAGAUCAAUGUAAUGUAAUAAAACAAUAUCAACCCAAGCAGCACAGUGUCGUUACUAUGACGUCAAUUAUAGGCCAUUGGCGACCAAUGGGGACGUCUAAAAUGACGUGAUUAUGACGGGUUAAUGUCACAUCCUACAGACGUCAACUAAUGACGUACCUAGUCCGGCUGGUGAGACGUCAAAAUGACGUACUUACUUUUGACAAAUGACGUAUAAGUAGGAUCAAAAAUAUAAAAAAAUGCGUUCAAAUUAAUACCAGUUUAUUACAAAAUCUUAAAAAACUACAUACUAUUACACUUAUAGAACAUAAAAGUUGAAAUAAGGAAUUACUAAUGAUGCAAUAAUGAAAAUGACAACCAUUCCUGCUUGAAAGGAAAAACAAUACAUUUCGAAAAAACUUUGUGGCAGUGCAAUAACUCGAUAUACUCUGAUAAAUUUUGGAUAAAUUCUUUUGAGUCGACAGGGUAUUUGUAAAAUGAACGGUAAUCCUGAAACCUCCUACCUAAUAUAAAAACUGCUCCAUUAUUAUCCACUACAUUUUCUAUUUUGAAAACCAGUCCUUCUAAGGUAAGACAAAAACAAUUUGCUUCUGAAUAUGAUGCAAUAGAAAAAAUAAAAUCUUUAUAAUGAAGCUUUUUAUACUGCUUGCAAGAGAAAUUUGGCGUUGGUCCUAAGAAAUGGGACAAUUCACAUUUACAGAAGUGUUCAUCAUCAGGUGAAGUAGAGUCAUGUUUUUCGUACACUGUCAUUUCAAUUUCUUUUAAGCGUCUAUUAAUCUGUUGUAACGGUUUAUUCGGAGACUGAACUAACGAUUUUAAAUGGUGGAGAUAAUGCAAGAGAUGAGUAACUACUGUACGUCGAACGUACCUUGAAGCUGCCCAGUUUGACAAUUUCGAAUGCAAAUCGCUAGGCGGCGGUUCAUUAGAAAAUAAAUCGUUAGGGGGCACGUUACUGGAAUAGGAAGUCAAAUGGUUGUAUAACGUCGCAUCAUUGAAGAGCAAAUUUUCAUUAGGCGAGUUUACAUUAAAAUCUAAAUCUCUUGAGGAACAGGUGUCAUUUUCACUUUCACACAUUGAACCAGCAAAAAAAAACGGAAUUUGAUGAUUCAUUGGAAUCAUUAUUAACUAUUAAAGAUGUAUUAUAACAAUUCUGACUCACAGGUGCUAAAUUUGCUUCUGCCAUCCUUCUGUAGAGUUGUCUUUGACUAACAACACUUUUUUUCUUACGGGUUGCCAUGCUGCUGCUUUUUCAAUUUCUCUGGUGCAUGUUUCAACCACACCUUGAUGGUAUCUUCUAUUUCUUUCUGACUGACUAGAGGGGAGCUUUUUCUUACAGCACCUAAAAAUGUUGUUUCAGAUUAAUAAUAAGUAUGCACCUACAAGUGAAAACACUUACCAAUAAUCACAUCCUUUACGUUUAAGUUUUUAAAAGCCUUUUUCUCACCUCGUUUGCCACAAAAAUUCCAAUUAGUUGCAAGAGAAUAAAUGAACAAAAAAUUUAAAAUGCGGUUUGUAUGUCCAGUAAAAUCUCUCCCUCCAAAAGUCGAUAGAUAUGCCGACUAGAAUCACAUAAUUUAAAUUGUAAAAUACAUAUUAAGUGGUACAGAACACCCACCAAACCGCCAAACAACUUUUUGCUGCCGUCCGCCAUUACGCGCACACGCGUUCACACCAGCAGUCCAGCACGCAUGCGCUUGCACGUCUCGUAUCGUAUCGUGGCAUUUCGAUUAAAAUCGCGCCAAAAUUAAAUCUUGGUCGACAGCCUCGACAGGAAUCGAUGCUAAAAAUAAUUGUUUCCUACUAAUAAAAUAGUUAAAUAAUUGUUAAUUACAACAUUCUCACUUCAUCUUUAAAUUCAAAUUGCAUUUCCACUUAAAACGUCAGUUUAGUAUUUUCAUUGCUAAUUAAUGAAUUUAUAUUUAUAUCCAAAUUUUAGGUAAACAACAAUUUAAAAUGUACAAUUUUUUAUAAAGCACGUAUAGGGCUUAGUUUUUGUAAUAAACUUUCGUUCUAAUUUUUUUUAUAGUUGAUUAAAAAGCACUUAAAACGACCGAAAACAAACGUACGAAAGACGUCUCUAGACGACGUCAAAAUGACAUCUGAAAUGUCACGUCAUAUGGACGUCGCUUAUUGGUCUACGACGUCGCCGACUAAUAAUGUCCAAUAAUUGACGUCAUUAUAACGACACUGUGCUGCUUGGGAAAAUCAAUGUCUGCAUCUAUUUUUCAGGAAGAAGACAUCUUGAAUGGAUACGGCUGAUAGGAAUUCAAGUAUUAUAUAAUUGUAAACACCUGUAAAAUAAUAAUAAUACAAUUUGUGGAUAAAUCGUUUCCCAAUUCGUCAACUACAUCGAUGCAUAACGUGUCUACAACGACAAAAACAUUUGUGGAAGUACCCAAUAUUCGAAGCAAUGUCAACAUAACUCUUUAGUAAUUUUCAACCCUCGACAGCUCAUAAAAGAAUCCUGAUUAAGUUGGAGAUCUCGAAUUGAUAUUUUUCACAGUAUAUGCUAUCCAAGUACAUCCGAAACAGUAAAAUGUACUUCGCGAAUUUCUUGUUGCAUCGAAAGGCUUUCUUCAUUUGUACGUUUUACUCUGUCCUUAUACUAACUGCUGAAAGAUUAUGAAAAAUACAAAUUUAUUGAAUAAAUAGAUGAAUGUAAUUAUUCUGUCGUAAAAACAACUUGAAAGUAAUGUGACAACUACAGAGUAAUUUGAUAAACAUCAGUGGUGUGAAAAGCAUAUAUGAAUCAUGAAAAUCGACCCGAUGAAACAGAAAUUAAAAAUAAACAGAAACUGUAGAAAGAGGAAUAAAAAUAUACUAGUGUGUUUAGUGAUUUGUGUUUUUUAAAGUUAGUUUUUGUAGUACUUUAAAGAACAUUCUAUAAUUUUUCAUUUUUGUUUCAUCAAUUAUCAAAUCAUAAUAAUUAGUUUAAUAUUUGAGAAAAAUAUGUCGAAGUUUUCAAUGAUGUUUCGAAGGCAUUAUUUGGACAAUGUUUUCAUACCGGUAAUUGAUAGAAGACAUUCCUUACAACGCUCUAUGCUCUAUUUUCUAUCUAUAAAAAUAAAUUGCAUUAAUUUUGA